GGGAAUGUAGCUCAGUGGGAGAGCACUUGCCUAACAUUCAUGGAGCACUGGGUUUAAUUCUCAGUAUUGCAA
Molecule: transfer RNA, 72 nt
Filed under: Fukomys damarensis (Damara mole-rat)
Lineage: Eukaryota; Metazoa; Chordata; Mammalia; Rodentia; Bathyergidae
Rfam family: tRNA
About the family: Transfer RNA (tRNA) molecules are approximately 80 nucleotides in length. Their secondary structure includes four short double-helical elements and three loops (D, anti-codon, and T loops).
Source: Rfam by way of RNAcentral